RNAcentral lists this ribosomal RNA (518 nucleotides) under uncultured bacterium. RNAcentral describes it as "bacterial SSU rRNA". It matches the Rfam family "Bacterial small subunit ribosomal RNA", at positions 8 to 522 of the family's 1533-position model. The record is from RNAcentral.
AGGGUUCGAUUAUGGCUCAGGAUGAACGCUAGCGGCAGGCCUAAUACAUGCAAGUCGAGGGGCAGCACGAGUACUUGUACUUGGUGGCGACCGGCGCACGGGUGCGUAACGCGUAUGCAACCUACCUUAUACAGAGGGAUAGCCCAGAGAAAUUUGGAUUAAUACCUCAUAGUAUCAUUUGAAGGCAUCUGAAGAUGAUUAAAGAUUUAUCGGUAUAAGAUGGGCAUGCGUAAGAUUAGUUAGUUGGUGAGGUAACGGCUCACCAAGACUUCGAUCUUUAGGGGUUCUGAGAGGAUGAUCCCCCACACUGGUACUGAGAUACGGACCAGACUUCUACGGGAGGCAGCAGUAGGGAAUAUUGGUUAAUGGGCGAGAGCCUGAACCAGCCAUGCCGCGUGCAGGAAGACGGCCUUCUGGGUUGUAAACUGCUUUUAUACGGGAAGAAAACGGCCUUGCGAGGCAGAUUGACGGUACCGUAUGAAUAAGCACCGGCUAACUCCGUGCCAGCCGCCGCGGUA